AGCAGCCGCGGUAAUUCCAGCUCCAAUAGCGUAUAUUAAAGUUGCUGCAGUUAAAAAGCUCGUAGUUGAAUUUCGGGACCAUCAUGUCGGUCGUGCCUCGGUACGUACUGGCAUCGUUGGUUUCUCCCUUCUGACGAACCAUGAUGUCAUUUAUUUGGUGUCGUGGGAAAUCAGGACUGUUACUUUGAAAAAAUUAGAGUGUUUAAAGCAGGCUCACGCUUGAAUACAUUAGCAUGGAAUAAUGAAAUAGGACGUUUGAUUCUAUUUUGUUGGUUUCUAGGAUUGACGUAAUGAUUAAUAGGGAUAGUUGGGGGCAUUAGUAUUCAAUUGUCAGAGGUGAAAUUCUUGGAUUUAUUGAAGACUAACUACUGCGAAAGCAUUUGCCAAGGAUGUUUUCAUUAAUCAAGAACGAAAGUUAGGGGAUCGAAGACGAUCAGAUACCGUCGUAGUCUUAACCAUAAACUAUGCCGACUAGGGAUCGGAGGAUGUUAAUUUUUUAAUGACUCA
Molecule: ribosomal RNA, 507 nt
Filed under: uncultured fungus
Lineage: Eukaryota; Fungi
Description: SSU rRNA
Rfam family: Eukaryotic small subunit ribosomal RNA
Source: RNAcentral